UGCGCAGGCGGACCUAUUAGUCAGUGGUGAAAUCCCGGGGCUCAACUCCGGAACUGCCAUUGAUACUGUAGGUCUUGAGUUUGGUUGAAGUGGGCGGAAUGUAGCAUGUAGCGGUGAAAUGCAUAGAUAUGCUGCAGAACACCGAUCGCGAAGGCAGCUCACUAAACCAAAACUGACGCUCAGGCACGAAAGCGUGGGUAGCGAACAGGAUUAGAUACCCUGGUAGUCC
This 229-nucleotide ribosomal RNA is filed under the name uncultured bacterium. RNAcentral describes it as "partial 16S ribosomal RNA". It matches the Rfam family "Bacterial small subunit ribosomal RNA", at positions 568 to 796 of the family's 1533-position model. The record is from RNAcentral.